RNAcentral lists this ribosomal RNA (207 nucleotides) under uncultured bacterium. RNAcentral's name for it is "partial 16S ribosomal RNA". It matches the Rfam family "Bacterial small subunit ribosomal RNA", at positions 568 to 774 of the family's 1533-position model. The record is from RNAcentral.
UGUGUAGGCGGUUGUAUAAGUGAGAUGUGAAAUCCCUCAGCUCAACUGAGGAACUGCGUUUCAGACUGUACGACUGGAGGAAGACAGGGGUAAGCGGAACAUGCGGUGGAGCGGUGAAAUGCUUUGAUAUUGCACGGAACACCAGAGGCGAAGGCGGCUUACUGGGUCUUUACUGACGCUGAAACACGAAAGCCAGGGUAGCGAACG